This 804-nucleotide ribosomal RNA is filed under the name uncultured Pelagibacteraceae bacterium. Its description in RNAcentral is "bacterial SSU rRNA". It matches the Rfam family "Bacterial small subunit ribosomal RNA", at positions 35 to 887 of the family's 1533-position model. The record is from RNAcentral. Lineage: Bacteria; Pseudomonadati; Pseudomonadota; Alphaproteobacteria; Candidatus Pelagibacterales; Candidatus Pelagibacteraceae.
GCUGGCGGCACGCCUAACACAUGCAAGUCGAACGCAGUAGCAAUACUGAGUGGCAAACGGGUGAGUAUAAUGUGGGAAUCUGCCUUUUGGUUUGGAAUAACACGGGGAAACUUGUGCUAAUACCGAAUAAGCCCUUACGGGGAAAGUUUUAACGCCGAAAGAUGAGCCUGCACUUGAUUAGCUAGUUGGUAAGGUAAAGGCUUACCAAGGCUACGAUCAAUAGCUGUUCUUAGAGGAAGACCAGCCACAUUGGGACUGAGACACGGCCCAGACUCCUACGGGAGGCAGCAGUGGGGAAUCUUGCACAAUGGGGGAAACCCUGAUGCAGCGAUGCCGCGUGAGUGAAGAAGGCCCUUGGGUUGUAAAACUCUUUCGUCGGGGAAGAAAAUGACUGUACCCGAAUAAGAAGGUCCGGCUAACUUCGUGCCAGCAGCCGCGGUAAUACGAAGGGACCUAGCGUAGUUCGGAAUUACUGGGCUUAAAGAGCUCGUAGGUGGUUAAAAAAGUUGAUGGUGAAAUCCCAAGGCUCAACCUUGGAACUGCCAUCAAAACUUUUUAGCUAGAGUGUGAUAGAGGUAAGUGGAAUUUCUAGUGUAGAGGUGAAAUUCGUAGAUAUUAGAAAGAACACCAAAUGCGAAGGCAACUUACUGGGUCACUACUGACACUGAGGAGCGAAAGCAUGGGUAGCGAAGAGGAUUAGAUACCCUCGUAGUCCAUGCCGUAAACGAUGUGUGCUAGACGUUGGAAAUAUAUUUUUCAGUGUCGCAGCGAAAGCAUUAAGCACACCGCCUGGGGAGUACGACC